RNAcentral lists this long non-coding RNA (2115 nucleotides) under Bos grunniens (domestic yak). RNAcentral's name for it is "lncRNA (ENSBGRG00000004589.1)". Lineage: Eukaryota; Metazoa; Chordata; Mammalia; Artiodactyla; Bovidae. The record is from RNAcentral.
UGGCUAUGUGUCUUAUGCCCUACAUGUAUAAAGAGCCUUUUAUUAUUGAUGAAGAUAUAUUAUUCCAGGAGACUCUCAGCUUAUCCAGGUCAAGAGCUGGGCACCUUUCUCCAGACCGUGUUCAGCCUCUAGUCCCACAGUGAUUUGAAUACAAAGCAGUCUUCACUGCAAGUGUUCAGCACACAGGCCUAAACUCAGGCACAGUGUAUGGCAUGCAAAAAGAGGCCCGCUCUCUGGAAUGGAUGCAUGAACAUGUAUGGCUCAGUCCCUUUGCAUUCACCUGAAAUUAUAACAACACUGUUAACCAGCUAUACCCCAAUAGAAAAUAAAAAGUUUUUUUUAUUUUUAAAGAAGAGGUCCACUUUCUGCUUUAGCUUCUGGGAUGCUAGUUAACUCAGAGAAGGAAGACCAGGGAGAGAAGUAGUACCCCUACAUUCUGUCGCUUUAUUUCUCUGAAGAUUGAUGAUGAUUAUAAUUUGUUGAGGAUCUGCUAAUGUGCCAAGUACUUUAAGUAAGUGCUUGGCAUGUUAUCUCAAAAAAAAAAAAAAAACAACUCAAAAGAAUUGUUGUAUGGGGUAGAGUGUUAUUCUCAUUUUAUAAGUUAACAAACUCAGAGAUGUUAAGAGACUACCUGAAAGAAAUGGAAGGGCUAUUCUGAAGCUAGAGGCGGCCCUGGAGUCUUGAGGGCUGGCAGGUGGCCAGCACACAGGUGGGAGCUGCUGGGUGGUCUGCAGGCCCCCAGAAGAUACAAGACCGAGAUCCUGGACAGGCUCCAGGACGGUGGGCCCUGUGUAACCCCCCAACCCCCAGCUCCCACCCACAAAGCCAGACACAUCCCCCAGUGGGGUGGCAGAAUUCAUAUCAGAAUUGUGCAAACGGAAAUGUCCAAGAAAACAACUAUAGUCCCAGGUUACCUGGUUGGUAGCUGGUACAGUGGGGCCAGAGCCCACGCACAAGCAUUUCCCAGCUGGGUCAGCAGUGGGGGAGCCUCAAGGCCGUGCUGGAGCCUGGUCAGCAGGGCAGCCAAGCAGCACAUGUAAAAUGAGAGUGACCCUGCUCCUUGAAGAAGUUUCGGAGACUGUGUAGAUUUUUACAGCUUUAUGUAAAUUUAUGUGAGGUGACAUUCAGUGAAAUCGCUCAUCUGUAUGAUCCCUUUAAUUCUACCUGCAGCUUCAGUAAAAUUGAAAUUUAAAUCAUACAUUUAACUUAAUGGUACAACUUAGAUGUCAGGGGAAAGAAAAACCACUCUGUUUAAGAAGAAAAGACCUUAGCGCUAAAAAUAACUAUUGAGGGACGAAAGAGCUUUUGUUCAAUGGACUCUUAUCUGUAAAAAAGAAAAGGCCAAAUUUUAAUCCAAAGAUUUAGAUUCAAGUCAGGUUUUGAAAGAACAAAUGGCCUCAGUGUGGGGGUCUGCCAUUUCAUAUUAAAAUUCCUUUGUCUUAUGAUUUUUCCCUCUGUUUCUCAUGUAUCUUAUUUUUCUCAGUUGCUCUUAUUUUACUACAUGUAUAUAUUAAAGGCCAAGUGUAAUGAUUAAUAUUACAAAGCAGAACCGUUGGGCCAUUCUGAAAAAAUUAUUUCGGGCUUUUAAGUAUUAAGAAAAAUGAUGUCCAUCUAUAUCCUUUAAACUAUUUUUUCCCCAAACUAACUGAUUUAAUGGAUUAAAAUACUUACUAUAAAAAAAAAAUUAGUAGUACAGAAGACUGUUUAGAAGAAAGUAGAAAGUAUCCCUAAUCUCACUAUCUUGAUAGUAGGAUUGAGAAGCAAGUUUUAUUGAUUUAAAAAAGCAUUUUGUACUUUGAGGAUAUUAACCUUAUGUGGGAAAUAAUGUAAUUUCAUAAUUUGUUCUUUAUCACUCAACCUUUUAUUUUUUCAAUUAAUAAAUUUUAUUUACUCAGUAAAACUUGAAACACAGUAUAAAAUUAUAUCCAAGAUACAAUAAACAGAUGAAUAUCAGAAAAAAUAAAAAUAUUUCAAUAUAGUACUGAUGGUGGUAGUAGUUCAGUCGCUAAGUCAUGUCUAACUCUUGUGACCUCAUGGACUGUAACUCACUAGGUUUCUCUGUCAAUGGGAUUUCCCAGGCAAGAAUAUUGAAAUAGGUUGCCAUUUCCUUCACCA